RNAcentral lists this ribosomal RNA (170 nucleotides) under Staphylococcus sp. BN2C. RNAcentral's name for it is "partial 16S ribosomal RNA". It matches the Rfam family "Bacterial small subunit ribosomal RNA", at positions 93 to 257 of the family's 1533-position model. Lineage: Bacteria; Bacillati; Bacillota; Bacilli; Caryophanales; Staphylococcaceae. The record is from RNAcentral.
UAGCGGCGGACGGGUGAGUAACACGUAGGUAACCUACCUAUAAGACUGGGAUAACUUCGGGAAACCGGAGCUAAUACCGGAUAAUAUUUCGAACCGCAUGGUUCGAUAGUGAAAGAUGGCUUUGCUAUCACUUAUAGAUGGACCUGCGCCGUAUUAGCUAGUUGGUAAGG